AAUGAAUUGCCUGAUAAAAGGACUACUUUGAUAGAGUAGAAUAUAUAAUUUUAAAUUAUAUUCAUUA
RNAcentral lists this transfer RNA (67 nucleotides) under Asyndetus clavipes. RNAcentral's name for it is "tRNA-Ile". Lineage: Eukaryota; Metazoa; Arthropoda; Insecta; Diptera; Dolichopodidae. The record is from RNAcentral.